AGCUGACUGCCACUUGGGGAGGAUCUCUUGCUGGAGAUCCCUCCUUGAUGAAGCUUUUCCCCUGUGAACCUGGAAUCUUCUGAUACGGGUGAGCUUUAAAGCAUCAGCAUGCUCUUCAUGAUACCUUUUUCCUGCAGUCUGAUGCAACCAAUUUGGAGCAAUUAGAAUUGCUUUGAAAUUCUAUAUGAGGCUUGGAAGACUUGAAGGAAUUUCUUGAGAUUCAUCUAUCAAGAUUAUGAAACCUCAAAUUUCUUUUAGUCUGUGGAAGAUGCUCAGCCCCUGGCAUGAAGAAUAGGACAUCCCAACUUUACUGCAUGUAUUGGUAUCGUGAAUGUAGCAGGUGAAAUUCAGUCUGGUUUUGAUCAUUGCAAAGCCAGAAAUCAGGCAGAGUGUGUUGAAUAGUGAUUACUGAUCUAUAUAAUAUGCAUCUUCUUUGAAACUGUUGGCCCAAAGAGCUUAUUGUGAGUUUUCCUAGCUGCCUCCUGUUAAAACUACUUCUGUUGUUUUGUUUGCGAUCAUGGCAGUUACUCUUUAUUUGGGAGAGAAUAUCCUCUAGAUUUCAAAAUGUAUACAUUGCAUAUUUAUAUAAACUUAUCUGGGGCAGAUCAAUGUCCUGCUGGUGUUAAUUCCUGAGUGUGAAAGUGGAUCUUGCUGAAUCAUGAAUGGUAGCAAGGCACUUUCUAAAAGUGAAGGAAAAAGGUUGUUGUCCAAGAAUUAGUCCUGCCACAAGCUAUGCAACUGAUAACUUGGGUAGUCCUCAUAAGGUAGGAUUUUAUUGCUCGUAUCUAGGGUCCUGGGGCCACCAGAGAUGUUUUCAGAACUCUGAGGCUGUUGAACCUGGAUAUUACCAAGGUGACAGGAUUCAAAGAAUGCGUGCAUCUUUCUGAAACAAGAGCAUCUACAGACUGGGUGGGGCACCCCUUUGCACCUACAAUGAUGCAGGAAGAAACGUAGGUUGUCUUCAGUGCUGAGUGCAUGGAUAUCUUUUAAAUCUUACCACCCUGUUGGAUUUAAAUCCCUAGGGUGAUGGUCAGCCAAGCCUCACAAAGACUUGUACAAAGGCAAUGUAAAUACUGUGAUGUCUUACAGGAGGUGUGUGACAGCCAUUCUGAC
This 1113-nucleotide long non-coding RNA is filed under the name Gallus gallus (chicken). Its description in RNAcentral is "lncRNA (ENSGALG00010015139.1)". The record is from RNAcentral. Lineage: Eukaryota; Metazoa; Chordata; Aves; Galliformes; Phasianidae.